RNAcentral lists this transfer RNA (66 nucleotides) under Paphia amabilis (short-necked clam). RNAcentral's name for it is "tRNA-Asp". It matches the Rfam family "tRNA". From Rfam's summary of the family: Transfer RNA (tRNA) molecules are approximately 80 nucleotides in length. The record is from RNAcentral. Lineage: Eukaryota; Metazoa; Mollusca; Bivalvia; Venerida; Veneridae.
GGUAGAGUAGUUUAUAUAAAAUAUAGGAUUGUCAAUCCUGAGAGGUCUACUCUAUGACCUCUACCU